This 253-nucleotide ribosomal RNA is filed under the name uncultured bacterium. RNAcentral's name for it is "partial 16S ribosomal RNA". It matches the Rfam family "Bacterial small subunit ribosomal RNA", at positions 524 to 776 of the family's 1533-position model. The record is from RNAcentral.
GACGGAGGGUGCAAGCGUUGUUCGGAAUUACUGGGCGUAAAGCGCGUGUAGGCGGUUCGAUAAGUCGGGUGUGAAAGCCCGAGGCUCAACCUCGGAAUUGCAUUCGAAACUGUCGGGCUUGAGUACGGGAGAGGGAAGUGGAAUUCCUGGUGUAGAGGUGAAAUUCGUAGAUAUCAGGAGGAACACCGGUGGCGAAGGCGGCUUCCUGGACCGAUACUGACGCUGAGACGCGAAAGCGUGGGGAGCAAACAGG